GUAAUACAUCGGAACGUGCCCAGUAGUGGGGGAUAGCCCGGCGAAAGCCGGAUUAAUACCGCAUACGACCUACGGGUGAAAGCGGGGGACCGAAAGGCCUCGCGCUAUUGGAGCGGCCGAUGGCUGAUUAGCUAGUUGGUGGAGUAAAGGCCUACCAAGGCUACGAUCAGUCGCUGGUCUGAGAGGACGACCAGCCACACUGGGACUGAGACACGGCCCAGACUCCUACGGGAGGCAGCAGUGGGGAAUUUUGGACAAUGGGCGAAAGCCUGAUCCAGCAAUGCCGCGUGUGCGAAGAAGGCCUUCGGGUUGUAAAGCACUUUUGUCAGGAAAGAAAUUGUCUGGGCUAAUACCCCGGGCCGUUGACGGUACCUGAAGAAUAAGCACCGGCUAACUACGUGCCAGCAGCCGCGGUAAUACGUAGGGUGCGAGCGUUAAUCGGAAUUACUGGGCGUAAAGCGUGCGCAGGCGGUUUGUUAAGACAGUUGUGAAAUCCCCGGGCUCAACCUGGGAACUGCAAUUGUGACUGGCAGGCUAGAGUUUGGCAGAGGGGGGUGGAAUUCCUGGUGUAGCAGUGAAAUGCGUAGAUAUCAGGAGGAACACCGAUGGCGAAGGCAGCCCCCUGGGCCAUGACUGACGCUCAUGCA
This 647-nucleotide ribosomal RNA is filed under the name uncultured bacterium. RNAcentral describes it as "bacterial SSU rRNA". It matches the Rfam family "Bacterial small subunit ribosomal RNA", at positions 110 to 753 of the family's 1533-position model. The record is from RNAcentral.